This is a long non-coding RNA of Stylophora pistillata, 263 nucleotides long. The record is from RefSeq and is a predicted model, not a curated record. Lineage: Eukaryota; Metazoa; Cnidaria; Anthozoa; Scleractinia; Pocilloporidae.
AAAGAAGGGACAACAGUUCACUUGUCAACUGGCCGGUACAAGGGUCGAGCGGCAAUUUAUAAAGCUUCGAUUUUGAAAGUUUGUGGAUGGCUCGUCGCUGGCUGCCAGUCAACAGGCCUACCAUCCUGAUGAAUUCUGUAAGUCGGAUACACUGAAAAUUGACAUGCAGUAUUAUCUGGCAAUUCAAGCUCAUCCUGUGUUAUCUCCUCUGUGUGAUCCUAUCGACAGUACAGACACCACUCACAUCACAGAGUGUCUCAGUA